GUAUUUUCAGUCGGACUGGAAGCAGCAGUGAGUUAAAAAUGCACACCGACAUUGCCAGUUGGCAUAAUGUGUUGUGAUUCCAGCAGACAGCAAUGGGAAUGUAUGAAGUGAUGGUUGAGGUGAAGGACAGCGGAACUGCUUUUUCUUGCAGCAUGCAGUAUGCAAAAUGAUCCUUUUUAUUUUUAACUAAUUCCUUAAAGCAAAAGCUCUUCCCACCCACGAGUGUUGCCUAAUUGGGGGACAUGGAAAAUGAAUGAAGAAACAAUCCUCAAACAAGGAGUGUUUGCUGCUCCCAUUUCAGCACUAAUUAAUUACUGUUGUCAGUAAACUGAAAGUGUUCAUGGAAUUACAUUUUCCAGAGCCUUCACCUGGAUCUAAAGCUGGAUUUGAGAAGGAAGUCCCUUCCCAUAGCCAGCCACUGCCAUGCAUGUGGAGUGACGGCAGAGGCCCAUGUGGCCUGUGUGCACUGUGAUGUUCUCUGCAUCAACAUGGACAGAACGUGUGGGAAAAGUAAGAAAAAGAAUGCAAUGUACACCAUAAUGCCCUUUAUGUAAAUUAAAGCACAUACACAUACAAAACAGCCCAAUAUGUUAUGUAAAAAAAUCCAUGAUUAUUUGGUUAUUUGAGGACUUGUAUAAAACACCUUACACUGGGUCUGGGGGUAGAAGCAGGGGGAUAGCCAGGAAAUCAGGGGUAAAAGGGAAAACAAUACAGCAGGAGAGGAGCCUUGAACAGAUUAUACUGAUAAAUGCAAUUGAUUAAAUCUGUCUGUGAGGUCCCCAAAGUAAACAGAAGCAAGAAAUCAUUUGGCAAAGCAAAUAGCCUCUUGUACUGUACAGAGGGUGAUCUUUAAAUGCUGGCCCUAAGCUUAAGGCAGAGAAGUUUCAUGAUGGGAAACCAGGUCAGGAAAGAUAGAAGCAGAAUGGAGGAGAAAAGAAAGAAAGAAAGAGAAGAAGAAAGAAAGAAGGAAGGAAGGAAGGAGGGAGGGAAGGAGAGGCAAAGAGAAAGAGAGAGACACAAAGAGAAGAGAGAAGAAAGGAAGAAAGAAGAAAGAAAGAAAGGAAGAAAGAAAGAAAGAAAGAAAGAAAGAAAGAAAGAAAGAAAGAAAGAAAGAAAGAAAAGAAAAGAAGAAAAUACACAGAGAGGCAGAGAAACAGUAGGAAAGAGGGAAGGAGGAAGGAAGGAAGGAGGGAAGGAAUGAAGGAAGGGAGGGAGGGAGGGAAGGAGGGAAGGGAAGGGAAGGGAAGGAAGGAAGGGAAGGAAGGAAGAUGACCAACCUAAGUGAACUCUGGGAACAACGGUGAAUGUUUGUGUUUAUAUAAACAUGUUACUUUAAGAUGGUUGACUCCUUACAGACAAAGGCCAUAUUUUCA
RNAcentral lists this long non-coding RNA (1373 nucleotides) under Homo sapiens (human). RNAcentral describes it as "HSALNT0099775". Lineage: Eukaryota; Metazoa; Chordata; Mammalia; Primates; Hominidae. The record is from RNAcentral.